GUGUCUGUUGUGUUCUGUCCCGUUGAGAGUGCCUGGUACGAGGACGACAACGUACAUUUUGCCGCACAGAGAGCACUAUAACCCGUGAUGACCAAGAUAUCCAUAGUAUAAAUUAAUACUAACAAUAAAUAACAAUGUCUUACUAAACCUGUCACGUCAAAAAAAAAUGAAAUACACCUUGGUAUAAUUUUUUGUUUCGUUGCAGGCACAUAAAUAUAGAUAUAAGUAUAUCAUAACUUUAAUUUUCCAUAAUACCCAUGUGUUUCUAUAACUCAAUAUCAACCCUUGUAGCUUUUUUGAUGCAUCAUAUCAACCUCUAUAAUUUUUUUCAAUGUGUCAAGGAUUUGUCUGUCCAUGAGUGAUUGAGAACUCUCUUAAAUUUUUAAAUGGCAAUCCUCGUUAGAAAUUACAUAAAUACAUUUGUAUAGAUUUCAUUAGAUAAUAAUCUGUGAAGUUUUCAGUUUAUGAAAUAUUACUUGUGCCACAAAACUGGUUUGGCAUUUUUAUGAUUUUUCUAUAAUUUUGGCAAAUUUCGCAAUAUCUAGGUUUUUAUAGAAAAAGAGAAAAAUAAAAGAAAAAAAAAAUAAAGGCUUGCAUGGGCUUGGUCCAACCAAUAACAAAGCUGGCCCAACUGCAAGCAUUCAACCCAAGUCGAAAAAGAAGCCCACCAGGAGAGGCUCACUUAGAUCGAGACAUUUUGCACUAGGAACCCUAAUAUAUUUUAAAAACUAUUAAGGCCUUUUCACCUUUUUUGUCUCUAGUAUCUUUACAUCUAAGUUUUCGAUUUAUGAAAUAUUUAGUUGUGCCGUAAAACUGGAUUGAUAUUUUUAUGAUUUUCUAUGAUUUUGGUGAAUUUUGCAAUAUCUCUAUUUUUAUAGAAAAAAGAGGAAAAUGAAAGAAAAGAAAAGAAACACUUGCAUGGGCUUGGUCCGACCCACAAUAAAGUCGGCCCAACUGCAAGGAUUCAACUCAGGUCGAAAAAGAAGCCCAGCAUGAGAGGACCGCUCAGAUAUAGACAUUUUACAUUAGAAACCUGAUAUAUUUCAAAAAGUAUUAAGGCCCUUCCACCUUUUUUCUCUCUAGUAUCUUUACAUCUGGAAUCCCAUAGUUCUUUAUGUUCUCUUAUCUACUCCUAUUAUGUUGGCAACGAGACCCAUAACGAGUCGGGCCAGAUUGGGAGAGCAAGAGGU
This 1190-nucleotide long non-coding RNA is filed under the name Sorghum bicolor (sorghum). RNAcentral describes it as "long non-coding RNA (SBIC_LNC000516)". The record is from RNAcentral. Lineage: Eukaryota; Viridiplantae; Streptophyta; Magnoliopsida; Poales; Poaceae.